RNA transcript from Cebus imitator (Panamanian white-faced capuchin), 2030 nucleotides. It is a transcript of the gene named nuclear receptor corepressor 1-like, with no coding region annotated. The record is from RefSeq and is a predicted model, not a curated record. NCBI's taxonomy places the organism in Eukaryota, Metazoa, Chordata, Mammalia, Primates, Cebidae. The transcript is spliced from 2 exons.
AUGUCCCCUGUUAAACAUGUGGUAUCAGAAAUCAAAUUUCCAGACGGAUGUCUGCAAAAUUCAGACCUUGGCCCUUCAAUAAGCCAAGGUCUGCCAGCCUCCGGUUACAACACGGCUGCGAAUGCCCUGGCCGCUCUUGUGGAUGCUGCAGCUUCUGCACCCCAGAUGGAUGUGUCCAAAACAAAAGAGAGUAAGCAUGAAGCUGCCAGGUUAGAAGAAAAUUUGAGAAGCAGUUCAGCAGCAGUUAGUGAACAGCAGCAGCUAGAGCAGAAAACCCUGGAGGUGAAGAGAUCUGUUCAGUGUUUAUAUGCUUCUUCAGCCUUUCCAAGUGGCAAGCCCCAGCCUCAUUCUUCAGUAGUUUAUUCUGAGGCUGGGAAAGAUAAAGGGCCUCCUCCAAAAUCCAGAUAUGAGGAAGAGCUAAGGACCCGAGGGAAGACUACCAUUACUGCAGCUAAUUUCAUAGACGUGAUCAUCACUCGGCAAAUUGUCUCGGACAAGGAUGCGAGGGAACGUGGGUAUUAAAGUUCAACUCUUCUAGUAGCUUAUCUUCACACAGGUAUGAAAAACCUAACGAUGCUAUUGAGGUGAUAAGUCCUGCCAUCUCGCCUAUACCACCCCAGGAAAAGCUGCAGACCUAUCAACCAGAGGUUGUUAAGGCAAAUCAAGCUGAAAAUGAUCCUACCAGACAAUAUGAAGGGCCAUUACCUCACUAUCGACCACAGCAGGAUUCGUCAUCUCCCCAACAACAGUUGCCCCCUUCUUCACAGGCAGAGGGAUGGGGCAAGUGCCUAGGACCCAUCGGCUGAUCACACUUGCUGAUCACAUCUGUCAAAUUAUCACACAAGAUUUUGCUAGAAAUCAAGUUUCCUCGCAGACUCCCCAGCAGCCUCCUAAUUCUACAUUCCAGAACUCACCAUCCUCGUUGGUGUCUACACCUGUGAGGACUAAAACGUCAAACAGUUACAGCCCAGAAUCCCAGGCUCAGUCUGCCCAUCAUCAAAGACCAGGUUCAAGAGUCUCUCCAGAAAAUCUUGUGGACAAAUCCAGGGGAAGUAGGCCUGGAACAUUCCCAGAGAGGAGUCACGUCUCUUCGGAGCCGUACGAGCCCAUCUCCCCACCCCAGGUUCCAGUUGUACAUGAGAAACAGGACAGCUUGCUGCUCUUGUCUCAGAGGGGCUCAGAGCCUACAGAGCAGAGGAAUGAUUUAUACUCCCGCUCACCAGGGAGUAUAAGCUACUUGCCUUCAUUCUUCACCAAGCUUGAAAACAUAUCACCCGUGGUUAAAUGAAAGAGGCAGGAGAUUUUUCCAGCUGCUCAGCCAGGAACUGAGAUCUUUAAUCUGCCAGCAGUUACUACAUCAGGCUCAGUUAGCUCUAGAGGCCAUUCUUUUGCUGAUCCUGCCAGUAAUCUUGGGCUGGAAGACAUUAUCAGGAAGGCUCUCAUGGGAAGCUUUGAUGCCAAAGUUGAGGAUCAUGGAGUUGUCAUGUCCCAGCCUAUGGUAGUAGUGUCUGUUACUGCCAACACCUCAGUUGUGACCAGUGGUGAGACACGGAGAGAGGAAGGGGACCCAUCACCUCAUUGAGGAGGAGUUUGCAAACCAAAGCUGAUCAGCAAGUCAAAUAGCAGGAAAUCUAAAUCUCCUAUCCCUGGGUAAGGCUACUCAGGAACCGAACGGCCGUCUUCAGUCUCCUCUGUACAUUCAGAAGGAGAUUACCAUAGGCAGAUGCCAGGGUGGGCCUGGGAAGACAGUCCCUCUUCAACAGGCUCAACUCAGUUUCCCUAUAACCCUCUGACUAUGCACAUGCUAAGCAGUACGCCACCAACACUGAUUGCGUGUGCUCCGUCUGCUGUGAACCAAGCAGCUCCUCACCAACAGAACAGGAUCUGGGAGCUGGGGCCUGCCUCGCUCCUCUCAGCACAGUAUGAGACCCUCUCGGAUAGUGAUGACUGAACUGCCCAAAGUGAGAGGAACAGGGUGCAGGAAAGGGAUCUCCAGUUUUUGACGGUUUAAUUUUUAGUAGCAGGUCAAA